GCUGAUGUAGCUCAGUUGGUAGAGCGGAUGCUUCGUAAGCAUUAGGUCAAGAGUUCAAGCCUCUUCAUCAGCUCCA
RNAcentral lists this transfer RNA (76 nucleotides) under Segatella copri. Its description in RNAcentral is "tRNA-Thr". It matches the Rfam family "tRNA". Rfam says of the family: Transfer RNA (tRNA) molecules are approximately 80 nucleotides in length. Their secondary structure includes four short double-helical elements and three loops (D, anti-codon, and T loops). Lineage: Bacteria; Pseudomonadati; Bacteroidota; Bacteroidia; Bacteroidales; Prevotellaceae. The record is from RNAcentral.